RNAcentral lists this unclassified non-coding RNA (159 nucleotides) under uncultured Verrucariales. Its description in RNAcentral is "sequence contains ITS2". The record is from RNAcentral. Lineage: Eukaryota; Fungi; Ascomycota; Eurotiomycetes; Verrucariales.
UCCACCCUCAAGCCCGGCUUGCUGUUGGGUCGCGCUGGGCGUCGAGCCCAACGGACCUCAAAGGUAAUGACAGAGCCCGUGGGGGCCCCGGACGCAGCGAGCUCCUCAGCACGCGUCCCGGUGGUCCUACGGGGCUUGGCCUCAACCGAUGAUUUCUCU